This 321-nucleotide ribosomal RNA is filed under the name uncultured eukaryote. RNAcentral describes it as "partial 18S ribosomal RNA". It matches the Rfam family "Eukaryotic small subunit ribosomal RNA", at positions 1470 to 1796 of the family's 1831-position model. The record is from RNAcentral.
CCCUUAGACGUUCUGGGCCGCACGCGCGCUACACUGACCAGUGCAACAAGCAUCCGUCCUUGGCCGACAGGCCCGGGUAAUCUUUGAACGCUGUUCGUGAUUGGGAUAGACCUUUGCAAUUAUGGGUCUUCAACGAGGAAUUCCUAGUAAACGCAAGUCAUCAGCUUGCAUUGAUUACGUCCCUGCCCUUUGUACACACCGCCCGUCGCACCUACCGAUUGAAUGGUCCGGUGAAAUCUCGGGACGGCGGCUUGGUCGCUUGCGUCCGACUGCUGAAACUUGAUUAAACCAUAUCAUUUAGAGGAAGGUGAAGUCGUAACA